UAGGGAAUCUUCCACAAUGGGCGAAAGCCUGAUGGAGCAACGCCGCGUGUGUGAUGAAGGGUUUCGGCUCGUAAAACACUGUUGUAAGAGAAGAAUGACAUUGAGAGUAACUGUUCAAUGUGUGACGGUAUCUUACCAGAAAGGAACGGCUAAAAUACGUGCCAG
RNAcentral lists this ribosomal RNA (165 nucleotides) under uncultured bacterium. RNAcentral's name for it is "partial 16S ribosomal RNA". It matches the Rfam family "Bacterial small subunit ribosomal RNA", at positions 355 to 511 of the family's 1533-position model. The record is from RNAcentral.